This 676-nucleotide long non-coding RNA is filed under the name Mus musculus (house mouse). RNAcentral's name for it is "long non-coding RNA chr1:42651725-42652401". Lineage: Eukaryota; Metazoa; Chordata; Mammalia; Rodentia; Muridae. The record is from RNAcentral.
ACUUCCGGGGUGUUCCCUUUGACCGAAAUCUGAAGAAAAUAUAUUUCUUCUCUCGCUUUACAAUCUGAACUUGAUGACGUGACAGACGAGGACAUUACCGAAAAUUGUAGUCACACCUAAUUCACAGACAUCGUUAUAAGAGUGCAUAUUGCCAAAAUGAAGAAAACAUAUGCAACGGGAUGUAAAAUAAAACCUUCACAUCCAAAUUGGGUGUAAUCCAAAAUACAAGGUUGGUUAACAUUCAAAAACCUAUUGGAAAAAAAGAGAGGAAAGCAGGCAGGGACCGUGUUGGGUAGAAGAAGAGUUCCUGUGGAAGAGGGCAGGAACGGAGUGUGCAAACGACUAAAAGCCGUUGUGUAUAUGUAUGAAGUGGUGAAAGUGUGAGUGAAACCCGCUGAACAACUUGUCACACGGGCGGAAUAAAGAGGAAAGGACAUAGCAUCAGUGUGCACGAAGGGAGUAUUUAACUUAUGGUAACAACGUCAAUGCAGAGCCCUGGAGAAAGAGGUCUUUCCUGUGAUCCGUGCAGAAGCAGACACAACAGAAGGGCUACCUUGAUCAGUGCCACCGGCCAGGAAUACAGCCCUGUGGUGUAGAACAUUUGACAUUCACGGAAUCUUUGGGGUUCAGUCCUGGUCACAAGAAAGAAAUACCAGACAGGGAAAAUACAGAAAUU